GCCUCUAUUGCCAAGUUGGUAAAGCAUCUCACUAGUAAUGAGAUCGUCAGUCCAAAUCUGGCUGAAGACA
This 70-nucleotide transfer RNA is filed under the name Babjeviella inositovora NRRL Y-12698. It matches the Rfam family "tRNA". Rfam says of the family: Transfer RNA (tRNA) molecules are approximately 80 nucleotides in length. Their secondary structure includes four short double-helical elements and three loops (D, anti-codon, and T loops). The record is from Rfam by way of RNAcentral. Lineage: Eukaryota; Fungi; Ascomycota; Pichiomycetes; Serinales.